GGGAGAAGCAUGGGGCUGGUGCCCCUGCUGGUCUUCAAAACCAGUUGGUCUUCGCAAGGGGAUCGGUAGGUUCGAUUCCUAUCUUCUCCCG
Molecule: transfer RNA, 91 nt
Rfam family: Selenocysteine transfer RNA